CCGAACGGAAGGGCAUCCUUCGCUUUCCCGUUGGGCUCGGCGACAAACACCAUGCUGGGCUUUGGGCCCGUCACGACAUCAUGGAAGAAGAAGUGUAGGUGGGUGAACUUCUCCUCGCGAAAACCCAGAAGCGUUGGGGUUAAACUUGAGUAGUAAGUGGCCGUGACUAGAGAGAAGAGUAAUGAAAGGUUAAGGCAGAUGAAGAAAGUGGAUUUGGCCAUAUUGCUGGAGAUGCCCUAAGAAAGCAAAUAGCCCAGAGAGAGUGAAGAGUGAUUUCCCGCUACUAGCUAUAGGAAUGCUUCUCGGACUCGAUGUGAGAAUCAUUAAGUUGUGACAAACUAUAUAUAUAAUACUCAGGGUUACUUAAACAAUUAUUUUCUAAUACUGUAACUGAAGAAUUCAAUCAACACUAACUUUCCUAUUAUUUUCCCCCCAGCUAAUAAUGAAAAAACAAAAAUCUGACACAUGUCAAGAGGAAGAGAUGUGUACGAUACGAUUGAAGUGAUGCUGAAUACCGCUGGGGAAAAAACAAGAGAAAUAAGUUAAUUAAUUUUCUUUGCGAAAAUGAAAUAUAAGAAAAACUUAUGUGUAUAAAUUAUAUAUAUAAUAUUCUACUUCUUGAUCUUAACAAUGUUUAGUGUCUUAUGUGAGCGUCUGUGCACAUAAGAGGAAGAGAUGUGUACAUAUUUUGCGAAAUUGAAAUAUGAGAAUGUAUAGUGUCUUAAAUGAUGUGCACAUGUAUUCCGAUUAUUAUAAGGUGAGUCUGCGCUCAAGAGAUUUCCGUUCGUGCUGUAAGGUGGGUCUGCGGUCUGCAUCUGCCCUUACCUUUUCAUUAAUUUAUUAAUCUGUUCCGUUAUUCAAGUUCAAACAUGUGCAACUUUCUUUGUUGAAUUUUACACACAGGUGAUGGCGCAAUGGCAAAUACCAAUCACAAGUCUACACAGGUAAGUUCAGUUGCAGGAAAGCAAGAUACUCAUAUAUUAAUAAUAGAUUUGUCCCUUUUCCACAACAUGAUAAACUUAUUCUUUCUAGUAUAAAAUUUAUUUAAAAGAAAUAAUAUUAUCAAUAUAAAAUUUAUAAAUUUUAUUUAUAAAAUUAUAAAGUUCAUAUUGAUAAUAUUACAAUUAAUUUUAAAUAAAAUUUAUGCUAUAUACCAAAAAUAAGUUUAUUAUGUUUAUGUUAGAUUAAUCUAAUAAAUAAUUAUAUUGACAUAAGGAAUUUAUAUAUAAAAAAUUUAUUAAUUUGUUAAUAUAAUACAUAUUAUUAUUUAUGGAUAUUUAUAUAGUUAUACUCAUAAUUUCUUUUUCGUGCUAGAGAUAGCUACGCCCAUGAUUAGCUUCCGCCCUCGCUCUCUGCUCCGCAAUUUAUUUUGUAAGUGAAUAAAGCAUGUACAUAAGUGUUUGGUUCAUUUUAUUAUUAUAUGAAAAUAAGAAAAUUUUCUAUCAUUUUAUUUUUAUUAAAAAAUAAAAAACACUGAUCAAAAUAAAGAUCAAAUGCUAAUUUGUUUUCCGGCGAAUAUUAAUGAUAAUUUUUUGUUGCUUAAAUAUAUUUUUAUUUUCUUAAAUUUGGAAUUUGUCUUUUCAAGUCUUAAUUUCAAAUUAAAAUUUAUAUAUUUUAGUCUUUUAAAUUUGUAAAAUAUAUACUAUUUUAAUCCCUCUCAGAAUGAUUUUUGACAAUAACUUUUCACGACAAGAGGGAUAAAAAAAAUAUUACAUAUUCAAGAGAUUAAAAAUAUAUUUUAUUUUUUUAUAACUGAGAAUUAUCUUAAGAUUUUAUUUAAUACUCAAUUAGUCUAGGGUCAAUCCAUUUUGAGGUUAAAUAAUAUUUCCAUAAAUCAAACUUCAGAAUUAUUACAAAUAAUAUCUUCCAUCGCCACAACGCUUCCAAACGGAAGGGCAUCCUUCGCUUUCCCGUUGGGCUUGGCGACAAACACCAUGCUGGGCUUUGGGGUCGUCACAACGUUAUAGAUGAAGAAGUGAAGGUGGGUGAACUUCUCCUCGCGAAAACCCAGAAGUGUUGGGAUUAAACUUGAAUAAUAAGUGCCCGUGACCAGAGAAAAGAUAAGGCAGAUGAAGAGAGUGGAUUUGGCCAUAAGAGAGGAUAUCGUUAAGAACUAAGCAAAUAUAGAACAGAUGGGUACGAUUGAAGUGAUGCCGAAAACGGCGGGGGGAAAAGAAGAGAAAAUAAGUUAAUUAAUUUUUAUUUUUUUUCGAAACUGAAAUAUAAGAUAAGUUACGUGUGAUAAAUGAUUAAAUUAUAUUUAUUAAUCUAAAUAAUGUUUAGUGUCUUAUUGUUAGAAAAAUAAAAAGAAUAAAUGAGAAGAAAAUACAAAACUUUAAUCUAAAUAACAAAAUAACUUUAGAAUAUAAAAAAAAUAUGGAUUAAUAAUACAAUAUAAGAUACGAUAAAUACAAAGAAAAAUAAUUUUUAAGGAAGAAAUUUUAAAUAAUUUACAUUGAAGUUCGCAAACGUUAUUCUUAGAGAAUAAAUGUUUUUACUAGUAGGAAAAUCUGAUUACAAAUUUGCGCUCAUGUUUCAAUAUACGACAACUCGUUGGUUUCGAUUAUGAGUGAAAAAAAUGCAAAUUAUGUUUCUACUUGUGUUUCUAUCUAGAGGAGGAGAGAUAUAUAUAGACAUAGACCACCCUUAUGCAACAACACAAGAAACUCAAAGUAAAACUAACACACUUAUUGGACGUUGGAAACCACCAACCUGCAAACAAAAAACACUUAACAAACCAAAUUGACUCACUAAAAGCAAAAUCUUAAAAUAUAGGAAUUCUAGUUUUACAUAAUAGAUUCUAAAACAAAUAUUUUAUUUUAUAAAAAUAGAAUUAAUAUAAGUAAUACAUUUUUAUAAUUUUAAAGUAUAAAACAAAUAUUUACUAACAUUCCCCCAAAUAAUUAAAAAUUUUAAAAACGUUUAAAAAAACACAAUUUGUAUAGAAACAUAAAAGAAAGAGUAUGUGAUAUUGUAUCUUAGUACAAGGAACCUUCCGGGUUUGAGCCUUAUAGCUAAUGUAUAUGAACUUUCACCGAAGAAAAAUGUAUAGACUUAAUUGUUUUGAACUACAUCUUAUUUAACCGUACUUUAGUACACAACCCCUACAAUAUUGGUGCUCAUUUAGGUUCUAAUCAGUGUUUGUGCAUUACACGAUCUUACACAUGUAUGUUGUUUCAUGAGUGUCGCUUAGAGAUUAACUCAUAUCUCAAAGUGGCGGCUCCACCACCACACUCACUAAGUGAAUCCUCAAAGAGUGGUUUGUGACCCUCACCCCUACAAUAAUUGUCAUCGGAUUUAUUAAGAUGUAUUUUUUUAAUACCAAAAAAUACACAUAUGUAAAUACCACAACCUUAAUAUUGUCACAAUUUAUAAUACACCUCAUCAUAUAGGAAUGAGAAACGGAACAACUCUAUAAAAAUUACUUUGGUGUACUUUAGUCAACAAAUAAUUUCGUUGUUACCCAUUGAACUUCAUCCAUGCGAUCACCAAUUACACAUAGACAGGUGUCCAUUGUUGCAACUAAAUAAUGAGUUUUAGUCUCAUUCUCCUCAACGAUUCAAGUACUUGUUGGCGUGUCAACCCUUUUGUAAGCGGAUCCAUAAUAUUGUUUUCUGAUCUCACUAAGUCAAGAGAAAUAACACCAUGAGAAAUCAAAUUUCUAAUAUACUUAUGUCUCACUCUUAAGUGUCUUAUUUUUUUCAUUAAAAUUUUUGCUAGUAACUUUAGAUAUAGCAACUUGACUAUCACAAUGCAUUGAAAUUAGAGGUAUUAGCUUAUUCAACAACCACAAAUCACAUAACAAAAUUUUAAGAAACUCAAUCUCACUAGUAGCAGUAUCUAAAGCAAUAAUUCAUGCUUCCAUAGUAGAAUGUGAAAUAAUAGUUUGUUUAAAAGAUUUCCAUGAUAUUGCAACACCAUCUAAAGUAAAGACAUAACUAUUUUUCAAUUUUGUUUCAUCAGAAUUAGAAAUUCAAUUUGCAUUACUAAAUCUCUCAAUAACAACAGGAAAACAUGUAUAAUGAAUGUCAUAAUUAAUGGUUUCUUUUAAGUAUCUAAAAACUCUUUCUAAUACAAUCCAAUGAGAAUGAUCAUGAUUAUUAAUAUACCUUUCUAAUCUACUAACUGCAUAUGCAAUGUCAGACCUAGAAAAGUUUAUCAAAUGCAACAAAGAACCAAUAAAUUGAAAAUAUUUAUGAGAAGAAAUUCCUUUAGUCAAUUUUUUCUUUAACUUAAUAGAUGAGUCAUAAAGAAUAGAAACCAGUUUCACAUCAAAAUAAUUAAACUUCCUCAAUAACUUUUCAACAUAAUGUGAUUGGGUUAAAACCAUGCCAUCAUUUUUCUUUAUAAGCUCAAUACCUAAAAUCACAUCUACAAGACAAAGGUUCUUCAUAUCAAAAUUACUAGACAAAAAAGACUUCACAUCAUUUAUGAAAUGCAUAUUACUACCAAAUAUCAAUAUGUCAUUCAUAUACAAACAUAAAAUGACACAUCCAUUAUUAUCAAAUUGUUUUACAUACACACAUUUAUCACUAUUAUUGAUUCGAAAAUCAUAUGAAAGAACAACUUGAUCAAACUUUUUAUGUCAUUAUGUCAGAGCUUGUUGCAAACCAUAUAAAGAUUUAACAAAUUUGUAAACUUUCUUUUCUUUACCCGGUUCUACAAAGCCUUCAGGUUGGCUCAUAUUAAUUUCUUCUUCUAAUUCACCAUUUAAAGAAACAAUUUUUACAUCCAUUUGAUGAAUUUCUUACUUAAAAACACAAAUAAGUAGUGGUUCUUAAUGUUAAAGACUUGUAACCCAAGGAAAUUGACCAAGUAAAAUAUAACUUCUUAACAUAUAGGAAUAUAAGUAGUGGGAUGUUUUUAGUUUUUUACAUAAACUAAUUCUAAAAGCAAUUAUCUUUAAAAACAUAAUUCAUAAAAAAAAUAUUUUGAUUUUAAAUUUUAAAUUAUAAAAAAAUAUUUUGCAACACUUAUUAAGUGAGCAUCCGUGCAGUUUUUUUUUUUCAGUAAAUACAUAUUCUCUCUCCUGCUUUCUUCCAAUCUACACUACUUUGUAAUUUAAUUUCCAAUAUAUAUUACUUGAGACUUUCUCUCUCCUUUUUGUUUUUUUUAAUUUAAAAUAUUAUAAAAUAUAAAUAUUAUAUUAUAUAAUUUUUUUAAUUGGUUUUAAAAUUACUUAUUUAUUAAAUUAAAUUUUAUAAGUUUGUUUCUAAUUUUUUUUAAAGAAAAUGAUAUUAUUAAAUAUAAUUAUUUUUGUUUUAUUAUUUAAUUUACUUAACAUAUUUUUUAGGUGAAUAUUUUUAUUUAAAAUCUGAAUUUUCUAAUAUAAUUAUUUUUAAUAUAAUUAUAUUACUAAAUAUAAUUAGUUUGUUUAUAUCAUUAAAUAUAAUUAAAAAUGAGAAGACUUUUUGUUUAACAACAUAUUUAUAAAAAAAAAUUAUAUUGUAUUAUCAAUAAAAUACUUAAACAAUUACACUUUACUAAGGAAAAACGGAAUACAUGCCGGCAAAUUUCACAUUUUUGUUUACUUUCCUGUUCAUCUUCUUCUUCGUCCGUUCAUCUCGUUAGAAAUGCGAGUUGAAACCUUUGUUGUCAUCUUUCUCCCUAGAUGAAGACCCGACUGAUCUCCUUCAUAUUCUUACCACAUUGAUUCGGGUGACAACAAACAAUAACUACUAAUUAAAAAUUUUUAAAGAAAUUUUUAAUAUAUUUUUAUUAUAAAAAUAACUCAUAUUUAGCGGUUAUCAGUAUCUUUUAGAUAUUUUAAUUUUUUUUAGAUCUGUAAGCCAUAAAUAAUAAACAUAUCAAUUUUUAUCACUUAAACAAAAAAUAACUGCUAAAUAAAUAUUUUUAAAGAUAUUUUUAAUAUAGUAGUUACUACUCUUUAAAAUUUUAUGUUUAUGGUAUAGGAUAGAUGUAUGAAUUAUUUUUUUACUAUGUUUUUUAGUUUAUUUUAAUAUUACUAACUAAUUUUAUUAUUUUUUUAGUUAACGAACAUAAAAAAAAUAAUAUUAAAAACACAUAAAUUUAACUACAAAAGUACAUAUACAAGGUAACUAAAAAAUUAUAUUCUAAUUCUAUCUAAUUUUUUUUAUUUUUCUUUAUCUGUAUAUUUUUUCUUUAAAAAAAUAAAUAAAAAAAUUAUAAAUUUAAUUUAAUAAAUAAGUAAUUUUAAAACCAAUUAAAAAAAUUAUAUAACAUAAUAUUUAUAUUUUAUAAUAUUUUAAAUUAAAAAAAUAAAAAAGAGAGAGAAAGUUCCAAAUAAUAUAUAUUGAAAAUUAAAUUAUAAAGUAAUGUAAAUUAAAAAAAAAAGGAUAGAAAAAGUGUAUUUACUUGGAAAAAAAUCCAUAUGUGCACAUGUUAGUCAGCAUCUGUGCACUGCACAUGUAUUCCAUUUAAUAUAUUAAGGUUGGAGGGGCUGCGCCCAAGACAAUUCCGUUUAUUGUAACAUGGGUCUGCGCAAACCUUUUUGAUUCAUUAAUCCAUUCGGUUAUUCAAUUUCAAACAUGCGUAAACCUUUUUGAUUCAUUAAUUCAUUCCGUUAUUCAAUUUCAAACAUGUACAGAUUUUCUUUGAAAUUUUACUCACCCGUGAUGGCGCAUUGAAAAAUACCAACCACACGAUCAGUUCAGUUGCAGUGGGAAAAAAAUCAUAUAUAUAUAUAUAUAUAUAGUAAAAAUAGAUUUGUCCUUUUUCCACAACGUGAUAAACUUAUUUUUGGUUAAACAAAAUUUAUUCAAAAGAAAUAAUAUUAUUAAUAUAAAUUUAUAAAGUUCGUAUCAUUAAUAUUAUUUCUUUUAAAUAAAAUUUAUACUGCCAAAAAUAAGUUUAUCAUGUUUAAGAUAGAUUAAUCUAAUACAGCAAUGUAUUAAGUUGUUAAUAUAAUACAUAUUAUUAUUUAUGGAAGUUUAUAUAGAUAUACUAAAUAAUAUAUUGUAUCUUUUUAUAAAUAAAAAAAACUGUGAGUGUGUGAAAUUUAUUUUGCAAGUGUGCAAAACAUGUAAUAAGUGUUUGGUUCAUUUUAUUAUAUAUGAAAAUAAGAAAAUUUUGCUCUCAGCUUUUUUUUUUUGAAAAAUAAAAAACAAUAUUACCUAAAUAAAGACCAAGUGCUAAUUUGUUUACCAAUGAAUAUUAAUGAUCGUUUUUUAUGACCAGGAGCUAUCUGGGCUUUUAUUUGAUACUACUCAUUUUCAUUUUCAGAUGCAUGUUUUAGCUUUUCUAUUUUUUUCUUAAAAUAAUUGAUGUUUUAGAAUUGUAAAUUCUAAUUAAUAUUUUUUUAAUAUAUUCCUAUUUAAUAUUAAUUAUUACUAAUAAUGCAGGUAUCAAAGAUAUAGAAGAUAAAAUAUUCAAAAUGAGUUACUUAAAUUGUUGUUGAGAUGCUCUUAAUUAAGAACGCAAUUGAGCUUGACAAUAUACAAUAGUUUAAUAGUGUAAAAGAUAUAGCAGUUUAACCGUGGAAAAAAAUCUAUAUUAUUAUUCGUUAAGAAAUCAUUUUUACUAUAAUUUUUAAGAUAAUUCUUAUCAAAGUUAAUACAUUUAUUAUAAAGAUGAUAGUUUAAAAAUUAUUUGCUGAUCAAUCCAUACACUUGUAUUCAUGAAUUAAUGAAUAAAUUACAUUAAAUAUGUGGAGGUUUUGUGAAAUUACAUAAAUAUUUUUAUUUUUUUAAGUAUUAUAAUAAUCUUUUUGGUAAGAAAUGUUGAUGCCACAUUUUUAAACAUUAAAAAAAUAUUAGUAUUGCAUAUAAAAGAGUGUUGUCAAUGUAAAAUUUUAAAAUAUAAAAAAAAGUUAGAGUAAAAAAUUUUAAAAAUUAAUUUACGUGUAAUUUGAAGAAAAAAUUCAUGAGCGGUGUAUAAAUUUGUCUAUAUAGAAACAAGAACUUUCGUUAUUUUUCAGGAAUAUAAAUUUUUGCAAUUACUGUAUUCCAAAAUCACGUAUCUUCAACGAAAAAGUUAAGAAGGUAACAUUAGGAGGCGGCGCUAAUAAUAAUGGAAAGACAAUGACAUUAGGACAAAGACUCAGAAAUUUAAGUCUUAUAUAAUUAUUAAAGUGUCUGGUGGAUUUCUAAGCAACUUUCACACUUAGACUUCUGAGCAAAUAUUCUUUUUUGUGCAGUAAUAAUUCUCGUCUUUAGUUUUUUAAUAUAAAACAAAAAAUAAUAAUAAUAAUUUGAGUUUAAUUAAUAAUCAAUAUUAUUAUAAAUCAAUUUUAUACUAUUAUUUAAUUAUAUGUCAUGAUUAAUAUAACUUUUAGCGUUAUUAUUAUAAAAAUUGUCAAUUUUUUUUAUCUAUAAUGAAUUAUGAUCGAAGGAUAAUAUCAAAUUAAGUUAUAGUUCAUGGCAUAAUUUUAUUUUCUUUAAUAAUUUUAUAAAAUUAAUUUUAUCAUCAUUAAUUCAUUUAUAAUUUUUAUUUACGGACAUUAAAAAUAUAUAAAAAAAAAUUAUUAUUAUUAUUAUUAUUAUUAUUAUUAUUAUUAUUAUUAAUUUCAUUGAAUGAUUGUAAGUUAAAAAUAACAUUUAUUUUGAGAAAAAAAAAAUUAAAUACAAUACUCCGUAACUAUUGCGAAACGGAAGGAGUAAAUCUCAAUAAUGGUUGACGAAUACGUCGUAUUCCACGAUAGCAUCUCCUUUUGUGAAAUCAACAGAGUAAAACUUUGCCUGAGCGUAGCCACGUGCAAAACGAAAAGCCCCAGUGCCGCCAACAAUAGCCAUUUCCCUAACGGGUUCACUCAUUAUCAUGUUCCUCCCCAACACGCUGAUGGUGCUGCCGUUGAACUCUCCGUCGGUGAACGCCAUUGUCAUCACCAUCAUUAGCCCCAUCUCUUCCUGCGAUAUCGAAGUGUAAAUUCCUUGGGCCUUGCCCACCAGUUUCGAGUCAUGUUCGGGCCCCACGGUUAAAGGGUCAUCCAUCGCCACAACGGUUCCGAACGGAAGGGCAUCCUUCGCUUUCCCGUUGGGCUCGGCGACGAAUACCAUGCUGGGCUUUGGGCCCGUCACAACGUCAUGGAAAAAGAAGUGGAGGUGGGUGAACUUCUCCUCGUUAAAACCCAGAAGUGUUGGGGUUAAACUUGAAUAGUAAGUGGCCGUUACUAGAGAGAAGAGAAAUGAAAGGUUAAGGCAGAUGAAGAAAGUGGAUUUGGCCAUAUUGUUGGAAACUA
This 9157-nucleotide long non-coding RNA is filed under the name Glycine max (soybean). RNAcentral's name for it is "long non-coding RNA (GMAX_LNC004419)". The record is from RNAcentral. Lineage: Eukaryota; Viridiplantae; Streptophyta; Magnoliopsida; Fabales; Fabaceae.